This 536-nucleotide ribosomal RNA is filed under the name uncultured archaeon. RNAcentral describes it as "bacterial SSU rRNA". It matches the Rfam family "Bacterial small subunit ribosomal RNA", at positions 509 to 1050 of the family's 1533-position model. The record is from RNAcentral.
CAGCCGCCGCGGUAACACGUAGGGGGCGAGCGUUAUCCGGAUUCAUUGGGCGUAAAGCGCGCGCAGGCGGCGCGCCAAGCGGGACCUCUAAUCUGGGGGCUCAACCCCCAGCCGGGUCCCGAACUGGCGCGCUCGUGUCCGGUAGGGGAGGUCGGAAUUCCCGGUGUAGCGGUGGAAUGCGCAGAUAUCGGGAGGAACACCGAUGGCGAAGGCAGACCUCUGGGCCGCGACAGACGCUGAGGCGCGAAAGCUAGGGGAGCGAACAGGAUUAGAUACCCUGGUAGUCCUAGCCGUAAACGAUGAUAGCUAGGUGUGGGGGGGACCGCCCCUCCGUGCCGCAGCCAACGCAUUAAGCUAUCCGCCUGGGGAGUACGGCCGCAAGGCUAAAACUCAAAGGAAUUGACGGGGGCCCGCACAAGCAGCGGAGCAUGUGGCUUAAUUCGAAGCAACGCGAAGAACCUUACCAGGGCUUGACAUGCGCAUGAAGCCGGGGAAACCCGGUGGCCGAGAGGAGUGCGCGCAGGUGGUGCAUGGCC